UAGAGGUUUAUAACGGAUGACAGUACAGUAUAGAGGUUUAUAACGGAUGACAGUACAGUAUAGAGAGAGGUUUAUAACGGAUGACAGAGAGGUUUAUAAUGGAUGACAGUAUAGUAUAGAGAUUUAUAACAGUUGACAUUAGAGGUUUAUAACGGAUGACAGUACAGUAUAGAGGUUUAUAACGGAUGACAGUACAGUAUAGAGAGAGGUUUAUAACGGAUGACAGUACAGUAUAGAGAGAGGUUUAUAACGGAUGACAGUACAGUAUAGAGAGAGGUUUAUAAUGGAUGACAGUACAGUAGAGAGGUUUAUAACGGAUGACAGUACAGUAUAGAGGUUUAUAACGGAUGACAGUAUAGUUUAGAGGUUUAUAAUGGAUGACAGUAGAGUAGAGAGGUUUAUAACGGAUGACAGUACAGUAUAGAGAGAGGUUUAUAACGGAUGACAGUACAGUAUAGAGGUUUAUAACGGAUGACAGUACAGUAUAGAGGUUUAUAACGGAUGACAGUACAGUAUAGAGAGAGGUUGACUGCUGUUGCCACAUUCUUUUCAA
RNAcentral lists this long non-coding RNA (553 nucleotides) under Oncorhynchus mykiss (rainbow trout). RNAcentral describes it as "lncRNA (ENSOMYG00000051677.1)". Lineage: Eukaryota; Metazoa; Chordata; Actinopteri; Salmoniformes; Salmonidae. The record is from RNAcentral.